UACGUAGGGGGCGAGCGUUGUCCGGAUUUAUUGGGCGUAAAGAGCGUGUAGGCGGCCAGGUAGGUCCGUUGUGAAAACUCGAGGCUCAACCUCGAGACGUCGAUGGAAACCAUCUGGCUAGAGUCCGGAAGAGGAGAGUGGAAUUCCUGGUGUAGCGGUGAAAUGCGCAGAUAUCAGGAGGAACACCGGUGGCGAAGGCGGAUCUCUGGGCCUGUCCUGACGCUGAGGCGCGAAAGCUAGGGGAGCGAACAGG
This 253-nucleotide ribosomal RNA is filed under the name uncultured bacterium. Its description in RNAcentral is "partial 16S ribosomal RNA". It matches the Rfam family "Bacterial small subunit ribosomal RNA", at positions 524 to 776 of the family's 1533-position model. The record is from RNAcentral.